AGACACGGUCCAGACUCCUACGGGAGGCAGCAGUAGGGAAUCUUCGGCAAUGGACGAAAGUCUGACCGAGCAACGCCGCGUGAGUGAAGAAGGUUUUCGGAUCGUAAAACUCUGUUGUUAGAGAAGAAUAAGUGGGAGAGUAACUGUUCCCACCUUGACGGUAUCCAACCAGAAAGCCACGGCUAACUACGUGCCAGCAGCCGCGGUAAUACGUAGGUGGCAAGCGUUGUCCGGAUUUAUUGGGCGUAAAGCGAGCGCAGGCGGUUUCUUAAGUCUGAUGUGAAAGCCCUCGGCUCAACCGAGGAAGGUCAUUGGAAACUGGGGAACUUGAAUGCGGAAGAGGAGAGUGGAAUUCCAUGUGUAGCGGUGAAAUACGUAGAUAUAUGGAGGAACACCAGUGGCGAAGGCGACUCUCUGGUCUGUAGUUGACGCUGAGGCUCGAAAGCGUGGGGAGCAAACAGGAUUAGAUACCCCGGUAGUCCACGCCGUAAACGAUGAGUGCUAAGUGUUGGAGGGUUUCCGCCCUUCAGUGCUGCAGUUAACGCAUUAAGCACUCCGCCUGGGGAGUACGGCCGCAAGGCUGAAACUCAAAGGAAUUGACGGGGGCCCGCACAAGCGGUGGAGCAUGUGGUUUAAUUCGAAGCAACGCGAAGAACCUUACCAGGUCUUGACAUCCUUUGACCACUCUAGAGGUAGAGCUUUCCCUUCGGGGACAAAGUGACAGGUGGUGCAUGGUUGUCGUCAGCUCGUGUCGUGAGAUGUUGGGUUAAGUCCCGCAACGAGCGCAACCCUUAUUGUUAGUUGCCAUCAUUCAGUUGGGCACUCUAGCGAGACUGCCGGUGACAAACCGGAGGAAGGUGGGGAUGACGUCAAAUCAUCAUGCCCCUUAUGACCUGGGCUACACACGUGCUACAAUGGACGGUACAAUGAGUCGCGAGACCGCGAGGUUUAGCUAAUCUCUUAAAGCCGUUCUCAGUUCGGAUUGUAGGCUGCAACUCGCCUACAUGAAGCCGGAAUCGCUAGUAAUCGUGGAUCAGCACGCCACGGUGAAUACGUUCCCGGGCCUUGUACACACCGCCUGUCACACCACGAGAGUUUGUAACACCCAAAGUCGGUGAGGUAACCUUUUGGAGCCAGCCGCCUAAGGUGGGAUAGAUGAUUGGGGUGAAGUCGUAACAAGGUA
Molecule: ribosomal RNA, 1183 nt
Filed under: uncultured bacterium
Lineage: Bacteria
Description: bacterial SSU rRNA
Rfam family: Bacterial small subunit ribosomal RNA
Source: RNAcentral